GAGGAUAUAGCUUAGUGGUAGAGUGUGUGCUUAGCAUGCAGGAGGUUCUGGAUUCAAUCCCCAGUGCCUCCA
RNAcentral lists this transfer RNA (72 nucleotides) under Camelus bactrianus (Bactrian camel). It matches the Rfam family "tRNA". Rfam says of the family: Transfer RNA (tRNA) molecules are approximately 80 nucleotides in length. Their secondary structure includes four short double-helical elements and three loops (D, anti-codon, and T loops). Further hydrogen bonds mediate the characteristic L-shaped molecular structure. tRNAs have two regions of fundamental functional importance: the anti-codon, which is responsible for specific mRNA codon recognition, and the 3' end, to which the tRNAs corresponding amino acid is attached (by aminoacyl-tRNA synthetases). tRNAs cope with the degeneracy of the genetic code in two manners: having more than one tRNA (with a specific anti-codon) for a particular amino acid; and 'wobble' base-pairing, i.e. permitting non-standard base-pairing at the 3rd anti-codon position. The record is from Rfam by way of RNAcentral. Lineage: Eukaryota; Metazoa; Chordata; Mammalia; Artiodactyla; Camelidae. RNAcentral also lists the same sequence under 2 other names.